RNAcentral lists this long non-coding RNA (413 nucleotides) under Lathyrus oleraceus (garden pea). Its description in RNAcentral is "Pisum sativum (pea) long non-coding RNA (PSAT_LNC010988)". Lineage: Eukaryota; Viridiplantae; Streptophyta; Magnoliopsida; Fabales; Fabaceae. The record is from RNAcentral.
ACACUUUCACCUUCCAUACUACAAACUUUCAAAACAUAAUUUCUUCCUCUCAAAAACAUCUCACCAUCAUCUAAAAAAAUCACCUCUUAACUCCUUAUGCAAAAAUGCACACACAACCUUAAUCUUCUUCACCGUUCGAACCUCUCCAACUACACCCAUAACCAACACCACACUAAAAUCAAACCUCCAUAAUUUAUCACAAAAACAUGUUUUCAUCUUCUACAAAUCUCACACAACAAUGUCUCCAUUAUCACUUAACCUAAAAACAUGUUUUCAUCUUCUACAAAUCUCACACAACAAUGUCUCCAUUAUCACUUAACCUUCCAUCAACCCAUCCCAAAACAACUUAACUCUCAUUUCUUAUCCCUCUCCACACCGUGAAAUUUCGAUCGACCGAGACAUACGACAAACCG